Molecule: long non-coding RNA, 3483 nt
Filed under: Nicotiana tabacum (common tobacco)
Lineage: Eukaryota; Viridiplantae; Streptophyta; Magnoliopsida; Solanales; Solanaceae
Description: long non-coding RNA (NTAB_LNC013081)
Source: RNAcentral
GUUUUAAAAAAAUAUAUAAAACUACAAAUAUUUGUACAAUCCGAUAAUAAUUCUCAAAAUAGAAUUAUAGACUUUUUAAUGUUAAAAAGUCUACACAGCCAAGAGUAGUCAAUGUAUAUACAUUGCCAUUUCACGACACAAACAAAAAAGAAACAGUCUUCAAGACAUACUCCAAUGUCUUCUACGAUAAACAAAAAGAUCAUAAAAAUAUCUUCAAACUACUCCUUGAGCAACUUCACUUCCUCGUUCUUAAAGAAUCUUGUCCUUGCUAUUAAAAAAUAAAGAUGAACAUCAUUAAUAUAUGCAUAUGUACAAAGAAGACAGUAAGUUUAAAGAGAAAAUUAGCCGAAAAAAGCGAUAAGAAGUAAAGCAAAGAAAGGUACUUCUGGGAAACUUUUAAAACCCCACAAGCAAUAACUUUUUAAAGCAUGGGAACAUCAACCUUGCGGUCACAAUAUAUAUAUGGCAAGGAUGCUUAGUUUAAAUUAUUAUAAAAUAUGUCAAUCAGUGUGAGAUGUCAUUGAUACUUUGCGAAAUUCAGUUAUCAAAACCAACACAAAUAAUUAUAAAUCUGAAUAUAGUACAUGAAUUGAAAUGAAUGCACAGAGUCGUAUUACAUAAUCUAUGUCCAAAUUAUUUAAAGCAACACGGCAACGUAAUGUUCAACUAAGAACCUACUGAAACUAUCUAUAAUGUAUAAUCAAUCACCAGUCAUUAAAAUAACAGAAUUGAACUCUAUGCAGUCAGCCACCUAACAAAUGGGUGACUGGAAAUGCCUACUGGUUGCUUACAUCCUGGACCAUCUCAUUACAUUUUCUCAUAAAUGAUGAUAAACAACUUGGAUUCGUACUUAUUUACAGGUUUAUAGUAUUUCGUGAUGUCCCAGGAUUUUACUCGUAUGCCAUCUUUGAGCACACAAAAGACAUGCCUGCUUUCAAUCUUAACACAACCAGAAUCGCUUUCAUGCUCAAUAAAGAAAAGUAAGAAUCGUCGUAGCUAUUUUCUUAAAAUGAAGCAGCAUGUUAAAGUGAACGAACUUAAUUCAUUUUCAACUCUUUUUAUUCGAUAUUCUAUCAUUGGAAAGGAAUUAACUUAAUAGAUGGAGGAAAGGAAAGAAAAUGCUAGGAUGUAGUCCAAAAUGCAUUUGUUCCAACGUUCUUUUAAAAGCUGCCUUCGUAAAGAAGAAUGUUGUGUCCUUAAGGAUAUAUAAUGACCAACUCUUAGAAGAUGACCACUACAAACAGAAACCAGAAGAAGUAACUCUUUAGUAUCUUUAUGGCAUUACCAGGUUUCACUACAUGGCCAUAACAGAUGAAAGACAAAGAUUUAUGCCUAGUACUGCAGAAGACCGGCUUCCAGAGAGAGGCCAAGCGCAGCGGGCUGUCCUUUAGAAUUCUAAAAGCCCAGAACCAAUCGUUUACUCCAUAUUGCAUUUGUGGCAGUGGCAUUCUUUUUUAGUUAGAUCAUUUUACAGAAUCCUAUGUCUUCCAUGUAGAAAUGAUGAUAGACUUUUCUAAUAUAGACAGAACUUGUAGGUAUACAUAUUAUGGAUUGCAAAAUGAUUGAACAAGCAUUUAGUGAAGGUUGGUUUUCUAGAGAAGGAUUAACUAAGUUUUAAGGUGAAAAUGGCUCUGCUCAACAUUCUUUUUCCUGUUCCUUUGUGAAGAGUAAAAAUGUAUGGACAAAUAAGAUGUGAAAAAUAUUUUGUAUUUUACAAGGCAUUAGUUUAAUAUUGGAAAUUGAGAAUUCAUCAAGUUAAAUUAAUAGAAAAGGAGAACCAUGUCAUAUACACUAAACUGAUUUCAAGAGAAAUCCUUACCUGUUGCAUUCUGAUCAGCCAUCCAUCCAUCUUUUAUUCGAUUCUUUUUUCAGACAUAAUUGAGCUUUCUUCUUGAUGAUUUAGAUAGUUGGUAUAUGUGCCUUAAGGCAAGAUGUUUGACCAGCAAGAAUGACUUGAGUUUCUGAAAUAGAAGGAGCAUCAAUCGAAGGUUUGAAUGCCGUGAUAAUAUUAAUAACGAUGUCAAGCUUUGAUAAGUAGACCAUGUACAAAGCAAAUAGAUGGAAACAACAAGCUAACAAUACAUGUGGAUUAUUAGUGUACAAUCUCAACUAAGCAACUCUUCUUCUAUUGUUACCAUCUCCAUUCAAUGACAAUCAGAUACCGCCAAAAGUAUCUCAGAAAACUUAAACAGAAAGUACUGGUAUUUACGCGUAUAACGGUAAUUAGAGGAAUAUUUAGGUCCAAGAAUAUGAGAACAAAUAAAUGCUCAAUCUGCAAGUAGAAUGACCUCAAGAAGACCACCAGCCAAUCUUGACAGAAACUCUAACUGAUUUACUUUCCUUCAAUCUGUUGGUGUUUGUCAUGAUUGGUAUAUAUGAUGAUCUAGUUCUAUAAUAAUUUUCUACUAUGAUGAUUUGAUCAAGCGUAGCAUUGUGUUAUCUGUAUAUGUUGUGUAUGCUUAACUUAGUUAUAUUGCUAGUUUACUGAUAUUAACUUAUAUAUUGGUUUAUAAUCGAUCUCAUUGGUUGAUAACUCACAGUUCUUGGUCUUUACAUAUCAUGUCUACAAGACACUAAUCAUUUGAUAUAUUGACGAUACCUAGUUAUAAUCUAUAUAAAUAUAUAAAGCUGGGACUUGGCAAGGUGAUGUGGCAUAUCUAUAUGGCCGAGAAACUUAAUAAUCUUUUUUGUCAAUUUAUUGGAUUUAGUCCUUUUUCCCCUAUUUAUUUGCUAUUUUUAAGAAUUCAUAAGUCACUUUGUUAAAAAUCAAAAGUCACGUCAUCUCCUCUUCUUUCUCAUUAAGAAAACAGUUGUGCUAGGCUUUAAAUUUCAAUUAAAGGGGAAGACAUUCAACAAAAAUUGAAUAUGAAAAGACACAUGCAUGCUUUCAAUUUUGGGACGUUUCAUUUCCUACAACACGUCCGUUGAUGAUAUCCUUGGUUAAUCCGAAACCACCUAAGAAUAAUCUCUGACUGGUGUUUCUUCAAUGUGCAAUCAUCAACCCACAAACCCCACUUUAUUCUAUCCCAAAAAUAUUCUUCUAUUAGAAAGACUACACACAAAGCAAUCUUAACGAAAUUUAAUGAAAAAAUAAGGAGAAAGUAUCUGAUAUUACAGAUUGUACAUUGGACAAAUCCAGAGAAAAACAGAGGUUAGCUGAUAUAUAUGAGUAUCUUUUCUUCAACAAUAAUGUUGAACUCAAGCAACAAAUAAUUCCUAAACUGAUUGAGAAGAAAUAGCUUACUGAUGUUCUUCAGCGCAGCAUGGUGAAAAUUGCCAUUUGGGUGAAAAUCGUCACUUGGAUUCGUCGAUUUUGUGCUCUGGCUUAGGGCUAUUUUGAAGAGAGAAUUUCCAGUUGGAUUUUGAGAUUAGAAAUUGAUCUCUUGAGCGUGAGAUUUCUGCCCUUUUGAGUUAGGGCUACUUUUGAGUUCUAUUCCUUUUUUGAGCGUGAGAAAUUUUUGAGAAUUGAGACCAGAUUGUUUU